RNAcentral lists this ribosomal RNA (253 nucleotides) under uncultured bacterium. RNAcentral describes it as "partial 16S ribosomal RNA". It matches the Rfam family "Bacterial small subunit ribosomal RNA", at positions 524 to 776 of the family's 1533-position model. The record is from RNAcentral.
UACAGAGGUGGCAAGCGUUGUUCGGAAUUACUGGGCGUAAAGGGCGCGUAGGCGGUCCCGUCAGUCCCUUGUGAAAUCCCCCGGCUCAACUGGGGAACUGCAAGGGAUACAGCGGGGCUUGAGUUCGGGAGAGGGAAGCGGAAUUCCGGGUGUAGCGGUGAAAUGCGUAGAUAUCGAGAGGAACACCUGCGGCGAAGGCGGGUUGCUGGGCUGACACUGACGCUGAGGCGCGAAAGCUAGGGGAGCGAACGGG